RNAcentral lists this ribosomal RNA (504 nucleotides) under uncultured bacterium. Its description in RNAcentral is "bacterial SSU rRNA". It matches the Rfam family "Bacterial small subunit ribosomal RNA", at positions 28 to 517 of the family's 1533-position model. The record is from RNAcentral.
GAUGAACGCUAGCUACAGGCUUAACACAUGCAAGUCGAGGGGAAACGAUAGAGAAAGCUUGCUUUUUCUAGGCGUCGACCGGCGCACGGGUGAGUAACGCGUAUCCAACCUGCCCAUCACUUGGGGAUAACCUUGCGAAAGUAAGACUAAUACCCAAUGACGUCUCUAGAAGACAUCUGAAGGAGAUUAAAGAUUUAUCGGUGAUGGAUGGGGAUGCGUCUGAUUAGCUUGUUGGCGGGGUAACGGCCCACCAAGGCGACGAUCAGUAGGGGUUCUGAGAGGAAGGCCCCCCCACAUUGGAACUGAGACACGGUCCAAACUCCUACGGGAGGCAGCAGUGAGGAAUAUUGGUCAAUGGACGAGAGUCUGAACCAGCCAAGUAGCGUGCAGGAUGACGGCCCUAUGGGUUGUAAACUGCUUUUAUAAGGGAAUAAAGUGAGUCUCGUGAGACUUUUUGCAUGUACCUUAUGAAUUAAGGACCGGCUAAUUCCGUGCCAGCAGCCG